This 445-nucleotide small RNA is filed under the name Pan troglodytes (chimpanzee). Its description in RNAcentral is "retained intron". Lineage: Eukaryota; Metazoa; Chordata; Mammalia; Primates; Hominidae. The record is from RNAcentral.
CACCAUGCCCAGCUAAUUUUUUGUAUUUUUAGUAGAGAUAGGGUUUCACCAUGUUAGCCAAGAUGGUCUCGACCUCCUGACCUCGUGAUCCGCCCAUCUCGGCUUCCCAAAGUUGGAGUUGUUCUUAAACUGUUUUUACUCUUCCCUGCAGACACCAUCAUCCGAGCAGUAUUGAUUUUUGCAGAGGGAAUUUUUACAGGUGAAAGCCACGUGGUACAUCCCAGCAUUCACAACCUCUCCAGUUCCAUCUGCAUCCCUAUUGUGCCUCCCAAAGAUGUCCCUGUGGAUCUGCACUUGAAGGCAUUCGUGGGUUACAGAAGCAGCACCCAGUUUCAUGUAUUUGAAUUGACAAGACAGCUCCCUCGAUUCUCCAUGUAUGCGCUGACCAGCCUGGACCCUGCCAGUGAGCCAAUCAGUUAUGUUAACUUUACCAUUGCAGAACGGG